UACGUAGGGUGCAAGCGUUAAUCGGAAUUACUGGGCGUAAAGCGUGCGUAGGCGGUUGGUUAAGUCUGUCGUGAAAGCCCUGGGCUCAACCUGGGAAUGGCGAUGGAUACUGGCGAGCUAGAGUGUGAUAGAGGAUGGCGGAAUUCCCGGUGUAGCGGUGAAAUGCGUAGAGAUCGGGAGGAACAUCCGUGGCGAAGGCGGCCAUCUGGAUCAACACUGACGCUGAGGCACGAAAGCGUGGGGAGCAAACAGG
RNAcentral lists this ribosomal RNA (253 nucleotides) under uncultured bacterium. RNAcentral's name for it is "partial 16S ribosomal RNA". It matches the Rfam family "Bacterial small subunit ribosomal RNA", at positions 524 to 776 of the family's 1533-position model. The record is from RNAcentral.